UGAAACUGUGGGUCUUGAGGGCAGGAGAGGAAAGUGGAAUUCCUGGUGUAGCGGUGAAAUGCGUAGAAAUCAGGAGGAACACCGGUGGCGAAGGCGACUGACUGGACUGUCCCUGACGCUG
Molecule: ribosomal RNA, 121 nt
Filed under: uncultured bacterium
Lineage: Bacteria
Description: partial 16S ribosomal RNA
Rfam family: Bacterial small subunit ribosomal RNA
Source: RNAcentral